This 68-nucleotide microRNA precursor is filed under the name Bombyx mori (domestic silkworm). RNAcentral describes it as "mir-2774 microRNA precursor family". It matches the Rfam family "mir-2774 microRNA precursor family". Lineage: Eukaryota; Metazoa; Arthropoda; Insecta; Lepidoptera; Bombycidae. The record is from Rfam by way of RNAcentral.
ACAACAUUUGGACCGUCGGUCUACUAAGCAAUAUCACUUGCUUGGUGGAAGAUAUUUCCUUUCGUCGU